This is a long non-coding RNA of Pseudopipra pipra, 4371 nucleotides long. RefSeq lists it as uncharacterized. The transcript has 5 exons. NCBI's taxonomy places the organism in Eukaryota, Metazoa, Chordata, Aves, Passeriformes, Pipridae. The record is from RefSeq and is a predicted model, not a curated record.
AAAACAUAAUUAACACCAUUUGAUCUUUGGUCAAAAAUUAUAAUACUACAUUAGAGUUGUUUGAUUUUCGUUUCAUUAUGGUUUUGGUUGGGGUUUUUUUUGGUUUUUGGUUUUUUUGGGGGGUUUUGGUUUUUUUUUAAGAAGCAACAGUAGUAUUCCCAGUUCUAAGGGUAUAUUGAGAAUAAGCCAGAGUCCAGAGAGGCUCCAGAAUCUCUGCUGGCUCCCCUGUUGUUUGCUAUUUUCUGAUGCUCUCUGCUUUGCAGGGCAGAAAAGACAUGAAGACACUGCAGCCCAAGGGUUUCUUCCCAAGGAAACAAACUAGAUUCUUCUACAACCAGCCUGCUUGAUAACAAUGAUUGUUUCAGAAAGGAGUUUUUUCAGGAGAUCCUGAACAACUUUUGCAAAAGCCAAUUCCCUAGUCCUUACCACCCUCAGCUUUUCCUGAGAGAGAAAAGAAAGAGAAAACUGACUGAAGCAGUUCUGAAACAGGCUCACAAUGCUCAGACUCUAUAGGUGAUGUACUCAAGACACGUGGACACGUGGCUGCUUGGGGAAGUGAUGCAAGGACCAUUUCUUGAUGAUGUAGGCACACUGGGCCUCCAGGGAAAAAAGCUACUGAUAUCUCAAGACGCUGUUUUACAUGGAGAAACUGAGGCACAGAAAAUCUGCAGAUGUUUGAUGAAAUCAGAGACAGAUCCAGGAACUGAAGUAGAAGAGCAGUCCCGGCCUUUGAGCAUAUGCCCGGAAAGGAAAUGACUGUGGGCCAAAGGAAAAAGAAAGGAAACAUGCUUUCCACCAUAAAUGAAGCAUUUGUUAUAUGCUGGAAACCUGAGAAGAAAAGAACACUGAUUAUUGAUCCCUUCUCUAACUUUUCAUAUGAUGCAGUUUUAAGAAGACCAAAGGAAGCUGAACCAACAUUUAUAACCUGCAUUGCAAAACUCUCAUCAGUAUGCAGGAGGCUAUCCUUUCAUAGUAACACUCUCAUUGCUUUCUUUUGAAGUUUGGUGGGUUUUUUACUUCAUAUGAAAUGAUUAAAGUUCCUUGUCUUCAGAAAAGAGAGCAUUCCUCCUGCAGAUGCAGUGUGCAGGCUUCUGCAUCACUCUAGCUCUGUUUCUUCACCUUAUCCAGCAAAAAUUUAAAUAAGCUUUAGCAAAACAGUUUGAGAGAACCUCACAGGAGCAUAUCUCACUGGCCACGAUGCACUCCUGGGGUAUAAGUGCCUUGGGGAGAACAUUUGAACUUGAGCUCUCUGUAGAUCAAGUGACUCCAUGAAGAAAGGGUAUUACCUUAUACUCACACUUCUUCGAAAGGCAACUGAAGCCUUUCUAGCUAGAAAUAAAAAAUCUGCAAAUUCUACAUAGAGUUAGGAACUUGCCUGCAUUUCCCUGUAGGCAAAGCUUAUUUUAUAUUUGUACUUUAAACAUUGGCAUCUGUGGCACCUCAAAGUGACUUAUUCUCUCUGAAGCUCAUUGGAACUCAUUGGGAGAGCUGCACGGGCAGCACUGAGCAUUAUGCUAAGUUCUCUGCAUUAAUAUUUCUCACCCUACAUUUCAAUAGAGCCAUUUUUAAGAGUAUCUAAUCAGGAUACUCCUUUGCAUACCAUUGGUCAGCAAAAGAAAUACAAGAAAUGGUGUGGUUUGUGUGCUUUUAGUACUGCAGCCCUUGUCACUGAAAACAAGAUGAAGGCAGUGCAGGAUCUCUAAUAUCACAAAUAACAGGACAGAGCUAUAUAGAACCGAUGUCUCCUGUUGUAGUGCCACUCGCAGUUGUGGUUCUUCUUCUCCUUUGUAAAAUAUAAUUUCCAUUGGUACUUGAUACAAGACAGAAAAGGGACCCUAAGUUACUCACUGUGGGAAAGCACAUUAUAAGGGCUGGGAACUGGCUGAGUAAGUUUUCAGUGUGUUCUAUGGAAUUUCCUUCAGAAGUAUUCAAAGUCUUCAUAAACUUAUGUUAAUACUGACAGAGCUGCACAAGACAGUGCACAGCUUCUUCAGUGCAAAGCUGUGAGCAUCUUUCUAACAGGGGAAAAUGCAUAUUUUUGGACUUACAGGAUAAACACAGCUGAGAAGUUAGUUUUAAUCAGGCUAAUUUUUCUAGUUUAAGAAGACCCCAGGUUUUGCUUUGUCAUGGCUGUGUGAACAGAGGUUUUUAGUAAUGUUAAUCAAAUUGUUAAUGGUAAUAUUGCAAGGUUACAAAAUUACUGUCUCGAAAGUAAAGAUAUAUUGGGGAUGCAGAUUCUUGCAGCUGUUAAAUGCUGUCUUGGACCAUUUAUGAAUGUGCAGUGUGAUGUAAGUCUUCAAAAGAUUGGUUUUUUUCCCCACUGGUCCUGGUAUGUGACUCGGUGUCUGGGGGGAAGGGGUUAUUUCCCAAGCAGGUAUUUUCUUCUUUGUCAUGGUGCUGUUCCAUGGGAGGCCUCUUGCCUUGUUCACUAGUAACUAUCCCAGCCCAGGUCAUAUGACAUACUUGUUCUCCAUGAUUCCUUCUGUGUUCCAUGCCCCAGGUGCUUCAGGAGACUGAAUGAAUUCACCAUCACAUUGUUCUCGUGUGAGAGGGAGGUGGUGUCCUUCCCAUCUGACCAAGAAGCAACUGACAUGUAGAAGAACUCAGGGAAAAUCUUCCCACUAUUUUGGAUAGUCCAGCCUGAAUCCUCUGCAGCCUGAUUUUUUGAGAGCAUCUAACAUUAGCUGUUUGUUUUCGGCUGCAAUUUGCAAGAUGCAGGGUGUUAAUAUUCACUUACAAAUUUUGAUGAUAAAAUAAUUACAGGCAUACACAAUUCCAGAUUCCAUGGAAAUAGUUUUUUUAAAAAAGCACUGUAACAGUGCACUGAUACUUCAGUGACUCAGUUGGCUCCAAUAUAGCAUAAAACAGGUAUUAUAUGAAGAAAAAAUUGCACCCUUUCUACCACAUAUUUAUAGAUAUUUGUUCUUAGGCUAGCACAGAUAGAAUGAAUCUCCAAACUAACAAUCAGGCUGCGAUCAUGAAACUCCCUGACUCAUAUGUGUCAUGCUGUCUCAGGCUCUAUCACUCUGAUGAUAGCUGUUUAUCUUAGAUCACAGCUCUCCUAGACACAGUUUAAAUUAUUUGCCUCUCAAAAGACAGCAGCAGGUUUUCUGCAAGUGAUAAAAAGGAAAAAUAUGCUGAUCAAGUGCAGUACACAAGCUGAAACAUCCAUUAUUUAAGCAUAUUUCAAUUCUUUAAACAUAUCACUCCACAAGUCUUUACUUUCAGCUGCUUGAUCUUGAGAGCCUGUUUAUUGAUUCAAACAGGUGAGGGCAAACCUUUAUAUCUGGGAUGGAUUAUAGAAUUACAGUACUGUUUCUGUGGGAUUUUUUUUCCAUUUCCUUGACUUUAAAAGGGCCUUGCUUCUGUAACUAUGCGUACCUUUAACCCUAUUGUCUUUUGUUGUCUUCCUUUCCCAUUUUGACAAAAGCCUUUGAUGAUUCCUAGUGGUUCCCAGUGUCAGGACCUGCAAGUGGAAAAGUGUUUAGAAGAUACUUAGCAAUUCUUUGAGGAAUUAGAAAGACUUGUCCGUGUUAGAUGCAAACAACUAUGAAAAAUCCAUCCCAGAAUAGCCCAUGAUAGCUUACAGUCCUCUGGGCAAUGUGGAUUUCUGGUCCGAGGGCCACGAGUGAGGCACCUUGCCAUCAUGAACCCAGUCUUAGACACAUGGGUCAGUUUUCUGGACUGCCAGAGAGCCUGCCCUGGCCUCAAGACAGCUUUCUUUUUUUUUUUUCUGGUUUUGGUAAAACUGUGUUGAUGGUGCCCUCAAAAAGAUCUAUCUUUCUUACACCUUUCACCCCUUUCAUAAUGGGAUUGUCCUAACACCUUUAUUUUCAGGAUGAUGGCAAAUACUUGUUACUGAUACAAAUUGUCAUUUCUGUCAAGAAUGGUGUAGCCAGCAGGACAAAUGAGGUGAUCACCUCCCUAUACUUGGCAUUGGUGAGGCUGUAGCUCAAGUACUGCAUUCAGUUUUGGACCCCUCACUUUAAAAAAAGGCAUUGAGGUGCUGGACUGUGUCCAGUCAGUGAAGGGCAACAAGGCUCAUUAAAGGAUCAGAGAACACUUCUUAUGAAGAAUGGCUGGGUUUGUUGAGUCUUGAGAAGGCUCAGGAGGGACCUCAUUGCACACUAAAACUACCUGAAAGGAGGUUGUAGCCACGUGGCAACUGGUCUCUUCUACCGUGCCUGCAGUGAGAGGACCAGAGGAAAUGGCCUUAACUCAGACACUGCAAAUUCAGAUUAGAUAUUAGAAAUUUUUUUUCCCUGUUAGAGUGGUCAAGCAUUGGAAUAGGUUGCCCAGAGAGGUGGCAGAGUCACCAUCCCUGGAGGUGUUUAAGAGGUGUCUGGAUCUGGCGCUGGGUGAUGAGGUUUA